This is a long non-coding RNA of Helicoverpa armigera (cotton bollworm), 354 nucleotides long. RefSeq lists it as uncharacterized. The transcript has 2 exons. Lineage: Eukaryota; Metazoa; Arthropoda; Insecta; Lepidoptera; Noctuidae. The record is from RefSeq and is a predicted model, not a curated record.
AAAUGUAAUAUACAUAAGUAUUAGGCCAUGAUAUUCUAAUUCGAAAAUGUUAUAGAUUGGGUUCUCUUUUUUUGAUGUUGGUUAUAAAGAAAUAUGUACGUAAAUGUCAUCGUCGUUAGUUUCGCUGUUGCAUAAUAAUGUAAUUGGACUUCUUUGAUUCUUGCAGGAUAAUGAAAGCAUAUUUAAUUCAGACUAUCAGACUCAAUUGAAUACCAGUACAAAUAAUAUGGAAAAUGAAGAUACAAUACAUGGAAGACGAAUUAUAGAUUUUAGUUUUUUUAUAAAUCAAUUACUUAUAAUUGAUAAACAUGGUGAAAAGUUUGGUUGUCGAUUAAAUAAUUUAAAAAUUGUAAA